Molecule: ribosomal RNA, 2104 nt
Filed under: soil metagenome
Description: bacterial LSU rRNA
Rfam family: Archaeal large subunit ribosomal RNA
Source: RNAcentral
AUACCACUCAGUGAAUGGCUCGGCUCAAGAGCUGAUGAAGGACGUGCCAAGCUGCGAUAUGCCCCGGGUAGGCGCAAGGAGCCUUUGAACCGGGGAUCUCCGAAUGGGAACUCCUAACCGAUUGGUUGAUCCCGUCAGGGAUCGGGAACGCCCCGGAUUGAAACAUCUUAGUAGGGGCAGGAAGAGAAAUCGUAAGAGAUACCGUGAGUAAAGGCGAUUGAAAGCGGCACAGUUCAAACCGAAUCCCCGCAAGGGGAGAUGUAGUGUUAUAAGCCGAAUCCGUAACGCAGAGCCUGAGAAGCUGAAGUUGUCUGGAAAGACACGCCAUAGAGGGUGAUAGCCCCGUGAGCGUAAUCAGUCUGCCGGGAUUCGUGUCUUGAGUACCGUGGGUUGGAAUUCUCGCGGGAAUUUGGGAGUCACCAACUUCCAAGACUAAAUACAACUUGAGACCGAUAGUGUACUAGUAGGGUGACCGAAAGCUGAAAAGCACCCCAUAUAGGGAGGUGCAAAGAGCCUGAAAUUGAGUGGUGACGGUGCGGCAGGGCAUGAAAGGAUCCUCGAUGCGAAGGAAGACGUCGCGAGGCGUUUGUACGAGCAUCGUCGCCAGUGUUCUGUCUUACGUUUUGAAGAACGGGCCAGGGAGUGUAUUCAGAUGGCAAGGUUAAGGUCUACACGGCCGGAGCCGAAGGGAAACCGACAGGUCCGUAGCUCGCAAGAGUGUGGGACGGCGUACAAAAAGUGCGCGGAGUCAUCAGGAUACGACCCGAAACCGAGUGAUCUAGGCGUGGGCAGGUUGAAGCGUGACGAAAGUUGCGUGGAGGACCGUUAGCGGUGCUGAUUUGCAAAUCGCUCGCGUGACCUGUGUCUAGGGGUGAAAGUCCAAUCGAACUCGGAAACAGCUGGUUCCUUCCGAGACAUGUCGUAGCAUGACCUCGACGGAGACUGUCGGCGGAGUAGAGCACUGAUUGAGGGAGCUGUGGGAGAAAUCCCUCACCCCUCUGUCAAACUCCAAAACCGCCGUCGUCGUAGAUGUCGGGAGUCCGGGCUGGGGGGUAAGCUUCUAGUCCGAGAGGGAAACAACCCAGACCGUGGUUAAGGCCCUAAAAUGUCGGCUAAGUGUAAUUAAAAGGGUGUCCCAGGCCCUAGACAGCUGGGAGGUGAGCUCAGAAGCAGCUAACCUUUAAAAAGUGCGUAACAGCUUACCAGUCGAGGUUUGGGGCCCCGAAAAUGGACGGGGCUCAAGCCGACUGCCGAUACCACGGAGCACGGAGACGUGAUCUGGUAGGAAGGCGUCCUGCGUGGGCCGAAGCAGGGCUGUAAAGUCCUGUGGACCGCGCAGGAACGAAGAUCCUGGCAAUAGUAGCAGCAUAGUCGGGUGAGAAUCCCGACCGCCGAAAGGGCUAGGUUUCCUCGACAAUGUUCGUCAGUCGAGGGUUAGUCGGUCCUAAGAUGCACCGUAAUUCGAGUGCGUCAAAAGGGAAACAGGUUAAUAUUCCUGUACCACGCGACAUUAAAACCUGACGCCUCCGGGUAGUUCGAACAGUGAUGCCAAACUGUCCAAGCGUAUUAAGUUCGCGGAGAACCGUAAUGGUGAGAAACGGACCAAAGCGUGAUGGGGAAACUCGGAUAAUCCCAGGGGCCCGUGAAAAAGGGAGUCGAUGGCCGUACCAAGAUCUGACACAGGUGCCCCUAGUUGAAAAGACUAAGGCGUGUCGGCAUAACCCACCCAAGGGAAAUCGGCAAAUUAGCCCCGUAACUUCGGGAGAAGGGGUGCCUGCUCUGAGAAGAGCAGGUCGCAGUGACUAGGGGGCUCUAACUGUCUAAUAACAACACAGGUGAUUGCUAACCCGAAAGGGCAAGUACAAUCACUGAAUCCUGCCCAGUGCAGGUACCUGAACAUCCGGUUCAACGGGAAGAAGGGCCUGUCAACGGCGGGGGUAACUAUGACCCUCUUAAGGUAGCGUAGUACCUUGCCGCUUAAUUGGCGGCUUGCAUGAAUGGACCAAUGAGAGCCCUACUGUCCCUGGGUGGAACCCGGUGAACUUUACAUUCCAGUGCAGAGUCUGGAGACCCCUGAUGGGAAGUGAAGACCCCGUGGAGCUUU